UGUCUUGUAGGGAGGCAACAUCAGCUCAAGGGAGAAGGCCUCUUGGUUUAAGGAAGGAGACCUCUGUUGAGGCUCACAGAUGUCCGAGUUGCUGAAUAUCCUGGGUGAACAGGAGACCUGACUUCCAUUUGCCUCUGAUGCUCAGGCACAGCCCUCGGACGUGGACAUCAUCAAACGUCCUCUUCGCCUUGGAAGGGGGCAAACAAAAUCCAUAUUUCAACUCCAUUUUCUCACUGGGAGGAGAGAGGGGCAGGUACCAGUAAGAUAAGACAGAAAAUGAAGAAAGGAGAUAAGAGAAAAAAAAAGAUGUCUGACUAAAUGAGCAGGUAAGAAACAGAGCCUAAUGGAGCGGCACCUUGCCUUCAUGUCAUCAG
This 374-nucleotide long non-coding RNA is filed under the name Homo sapiens (human). RNAcentral describes it as "HSALNT0157757". Lineage: Eukaryota; Metazoa; Chordata; Mammalia; Primates; Hominidae. The record is from RNAcentral.